ACUCCUACGGGAGGCAGCAGUAGGAAUAUUGGUCGAUGGGUGAGAGCCUGAACCAGCCAUGCCGCGUGCAGGAAGACGGCCUUCUGGGUUGUAAACUGCUUUUACCAGGGGAUAAAAAGAUCUUGCGAGAUUAAUUGAAGGUACCUGGAGAAUAAGCACCGGCUAACUACGUGCCAGCAGCCGCGGUAAUACGUAGGGUGCAAGCGUUGUCCGGAUUUAUUGGGCGUAAAGAGCUCGUAGGCGGUUUGUCGCGUCUGUCGUGAAAGUCCGGGGCUCAACUCCGGAUCUGCGGUGGGUACGGGCAGACUAGAGUGAUGUAGGGGAGACUGGAAUUCCUGGUGUAGCGGUGGAAUGCGCAGAUAUCAGGAGGAACACCGGUGGCGAAGGCGGCCCCCUGGACAAAGACUGACGCUCAGGCACGAAAGCGUGGGGAGCAAACAGGAUUAGAUACCCUGGUAGGCUCU
RNAcentral lists this ribosomal RNA (464 nucleotides) under uncultured bacterium. RNAcentral's name for it is "bacterial SSU rRNA". It matches the Rfam family "Bacterial small subunit ribosomal RNA", at positions 335 to 798 of the family's 1533-position model. The record is from RNAcentral.